This 601-nucleotide long non-coding RNA is filed under the name Anas platyrhynchos platyrhynchos (common mallard). RNAcentral's name for it is "lncRNA (ENSAPLG00000025558.1)". Lineage: Eukaryota; Metazoa; Chordata; Aves; Anseriformes; Anatidae. The record is from RNAcentral.
CGGAUCAAAAUAAAAGGAUUUCCUUUCCACUAGUUCCGUGUUCUUAACUUGACAGGUUUGAUUAUCGACUUAGAAGGCCAAUAUCUGGCCAGACUGCACGACUUGUGCUCGCAGCGUGGGACGGCUCUCGUAAAGGUGAUUCAGGGUAGCUUCUGGAAAACAAGACAUCAGAUCUCCCAGACAGCUUUCUUUGUGCUAAUGUAGGAAGGGAACAGAAUGGCUUGGACACAACUGCGCCUAUGACCGAGUUCAUUCAAGCUGGUGGACAAGGCUGGUACAGUAACAUGUCACAUUUGAUGACUUUGCAGCAGAGAUGUCAGGAGUGCAGCUUGGGAUCACCUCCUUCUACUGAGAGUUCAGUUUGAAGGGAUGAGCAAGUAAUUUUUCCUGGGUGGACGGAAAUCUAAAGUCUGUUUUCUAACACUCUUCCAGACACUUCUCUGUCCAUCGGCCUGUCCUGCCAACUCUGGUGCGAGUGUGAAGUUGUGGCAAGAGGGGUUUCCCGUUCCUAUUUGACCUGGUGGACACCAGCUUUCCUAGGAAAUGGCUGAUGUUGCUGAGGAGGCAGCAGUAUCAAAGCCCUAGAUUCUGAAAGCAGCAA